This 231-nucleotide long non-coding RNA is filed under the name Panax ginseng (ginseng). RNAcentral describes it as "long non-coding RNA (PGIN_LNC015799)". The record is from RNAcentral. Lineage: Eukaryota; Viridiplantae; Streptophyta; Magnoliopsida; Apiales; Araliaceae.
UGGCUAACUCUCUCUUAGACUUAGUAUUGGAUUCUCCUCAUGCUUGUGCAUGAAUGCAGGAUCUCCAGUUGGCAUUCUGAUGCGUACAGUAGACACAUCUUAUGAGUUGGGAGUUGACUCCUGAUGGCUUAAUGGUAUAGCCAUUACAAUUCCCUGUUGAUCAGAUCAUUGAGUCUGACUGUGGAAUUGUCUUGCAGGAGGGCUUCAUGAUGCUUGAGCUUGAUAUUGUCU